UCCCUGGUGGCCCAGUGGCUAAGACUCUGCACUCCCAAAGCAGGCGGCCCAGGUUCGAUCCCUGGUCGGGGAA
Molecule: transfer RNA, 73 nt
Filed under: Ovis aries (sheep)
Lineage: Eukaryota; Metazoa; Chordata; Mammalia; Artiodactyla; Bovidae
Rfam family: tRNA
About the family: Transfer RNA (tRNA) molecules are approximately 80 nucleotides in length. Their secondary structure includes four short double-helical elements and three loops (D, anti-codon, and T loops).
Source: Rfam by way of RNAcentral